RNAcentral lists this transfer RNA (65 nucleotides) under Dipodomys ordii (Ord's kangaroo rat). It matches the Rfam family "tRNA". From Rfam's summary of the family: Transfer RNA (tRNA) molecules are approximately 80 nucleotides in length. Lineage: Eukaryota; Metazoa; Chordata; Mammalia; Rodentia; Heteromyidae. The record is from Rfam by way of RNAcentral.
GGUGGCUCAAUGGUAGAGUGCUUGCCUUGCAUGCAUGAAGCCCUGGGUUCCAUUCCUCAGCACCA